AACGAACGCUGGCGGCAUGCCUAACACAUGCAAGUCGAACGAUGCCUUCGGGCAUAGUGGCGCACGGGUGCGUAACGCGUGGGAAUCUGCCUUUCGGUUCGGAAUAACUCAGGGAAACUUGAGCUAAUACCGGAUAACGUCGCAAGACCAAAGAUUUAUCACCGAAAGAUGAGCCCGCGUAGGAUUAGCUAGUUGGUGAGGUAAAGGCUCACCAAGGCGACGAUCCUUAGCUGGUCUGAGAGGAUGAUCAGCCACACUGGGACUGAGACACGGCCCAGACUCCUACGGGAGGCAGCAGUGGGGAGUAUUGGACAAUGGGCGAAAGCCUGAUCCAGCAAUGCCGCGUGAGUGAUGAAGGCCUUAGGGUUGUAAAGCUCUUUUACCCGGGAAGAUAAUGACGGUACCGGGAGAAUAAGCCCCGGCUAACUCCGUG
RNAcentral lists this ribosomal RNA (433 nucleotides) under uncultured bacterium. RNAcentral's name for it is "partial 16S ribosomal RNA". It matches the Rfam family "Bacterial small subunit ribosomal RNA", at positions 29 to 507 of the family's 1533-position model. The record is from RNAcentral.